GGUUGAUCCUGCCAGAGGUCACUGCUAUCGGGGUUCGAUUAAGCCAUGCGAGUCGAGAGGGUUCGGCCCUCGGCGUACUGCUCAGUAACACGUGGAUAACCUGCCCUAGGGAAGGGGAUAACCCCGGGAAACUGGGGAUAAUACCCUAUAGAUUACAGAUGCUGGAAUGCCCUGUAAUCCAAAGUUCCGACGCCCUAGGAUGGAUCUGCGGCCGAUUAGGUUGUUGUUGGGGUAAUGGCCCAACAAGCCCGUAAUCGGUACGGGUUGUGGGAGCAAGAGCCCGGAGUUGGAUUCUGAGACACGAAUCCAGGCCCUACGGGGCGCAGCAGGCGCGAAAACUUUACAAUGCGGGCAACCGUGAUAAGGGAACCUCGAGUGCCUGUAAAUGCAGGCUGUUCAGGUGCCUAAAACACACCUGAAGAAAGGGCCGGGCAAGACCGGUGCCAGCCGCCGCGGUAAUACCGGCGGCUCGAGUGGUGGCCGCUUUUAUUGGGCUUAAAGCGUUCGUAGCUGGGUUGUUAAGUCUCUUGGGAAAUCUGGCGGCUUAACCGUCAGGCGUCUAAGGGAUACUGGCAAUCUUGGAACCGGGAGAGGUGAGGGGUACUUCGGGGGUAGGAGUGAAAUCCUGUAAUCCUCGAGGGACCACCUGUGGCGAAGGCGCCUCACCAGAACGGCUUCGACAGUGAGGGACGAAAGCUGGGGGAGCAAACCGGAUUAGAUACCCGGGUAGUCCCAGCCGUAAACUAUGCGCGUUAGGUGUAUCGGUGACCACGAGUUACCGAGGUGCCGAAGGGAAACCGUGAAACGUGCCGCCUGGGAAGUACGGUCGCAAGGCUGAAACUUAAAGGAAUUGGCGGGGGAGCACCACAACAGGUGGAGCCUGCGGUUUAAUUGGACUCAACGCCGGGAAGCUCACCGGAUAAGACAGCAGAAUGAUUGCCGGGCUGAAGACUCUGCAUGACUAGCUGAGAGGAGGUGCAUGGCCGUCGUCAGUUCGUACUGUGAAGCAUCCUGUUAAGUCAG
RNAcentral lists this ribosomal RNA (1023 nucleotides) under uncultured euryarchaeote. Its description in RNAcentral is "bacterial SSU rRNA". It matches the Rfam family "Archaeal small subunit ribosomal RNA", at positions 6 to 1037 of the family's 1478-position model. The record is from RNAcentral. Lineage: Archaea; Methanobacteriati; Methanobacteriota.